Molecule: ribosomal RNA, 253 nt
Filed under: uncultured bacterium
Lineage: Bacteria
Description: partial 16S ribosomal RNA
Rfam family: Bacterial small subunit ribosomal RNA
Source: RNAcentral
UACAGAGGUCUCAAGCGUUAGGCGGAAUCACUGGGCUUAAAGCGUGUGUAGGCGGAUCGGUAAGUACCUUGUGAAAUCCCACAGCUUAACUGUGGAACUGCUUGGUAUACUGCCAGUCUUGAGCCAGCUAGGGGCUACCGGAACAAAUGGUGGAGCAGUGAAAUGCGUAGAUAUCAGGAGGAAUACCGAUGGCGAAGGCAGGUCUCUGGGCUGACACUGACGCUCAUGCACGAAAGCGUGGGGAGCAAACAGG